AUUUUCUGUUGAUGACGCUCUUAGUGUAAAUAGUGCAGGUUCAGUAGCUGGUAGAAGGUGGUUGUUAUUGUCCAAGUUAAAACAAGGGUUGUCAAAGCAUAAGGAGGGUCAUGUUAAGACUUUGUUCCCGUGGAAGUAUGGUUUGGGAGAUAAAGAGAAGGCUGAGGCUGAGAAUAGGGUGGAGGAGACAUCAUAUCGAAGUGGUAAGAGGAGAAAGGAAGGUUUAAUUGAUCAUGAGUUGGUGUUGGGGGCAUUGUCACGGGCUCUUGAGAUAACUGAAUUAG
RNAcentral lists this unclassified non-coding RNA (284 nucleotides) under Hevea brasiliensis (rubber tree). The record is from RNAcentral. Lineage: Eukaryota; Viridiplantae; Streptophyta; Magnoliopsida; Malpighiales; Euphorbiaceae.